Molecule: long non-coding RNA, 1368 nt
Filed under: Suricata suricatta (meerkat)
Lineage: Eukaryota; Metazoa; Chordata; Mammalia; Carnivora; Herpestidae
Description: lncRNA (ENSSSUG00005000983.1)
Source: RNAcentral
GGCUUUCACAGUGACAUGUUUACACCAAGCAUGACUCAGGAAAGUGUGUGUGUGUGUGUGUGUGUGUGUGUGUGUGUGUGUGUGUGAAAAAAUAAAAAAAAAUAAUAAAAUUGUGCUAAGAGGGAAAGGGAAGAAGGAAAUAGGCACCAUAAACUGACGGGUAAGAACUAGUUGUCAAAGGUGUACACAGAACUGGCAAAGAUUUUUAAGGCAGCUGUUCAGACCGUUGGUAAUAUCACCAGGUCAUUUCGUAGUACGAAGCUCAGAUAAUAAGCUGAGAUGUGGAAGUGUUCAGCUUCCUCAACGCGAAAGAUCAGUGAGUUGAACCAGCUCAGUUGGUCUCUAAAAUUGAGAGAAAUAGACAAGCUUUAUAAAACCUACUGUUGAGGCCCGUGGAAAAGAAAACGGCAUGUCUCUAGUGUUACUGAAAGGUGGAGCUGUUUUUCUGGACAUCACGGUGACUUUGGACCAGGAUUGUUCAUCGGUUUGAACAAUCUGAAGCAGCACUGGUCCGCUCCAUUCCGUUGGACCAGUAUUUCUACUUUUGGGAAUAAGUCACACAGAAAUAGUCCCAAGAGGGCAGAAAACCAACUUGUCCACAGAUGGGAAGAAACUGGCAAGAAUCCACAUGAUGCCAGACUCCAGGUGCUCCUGCCGAGGAACCAGAAGCAUGCUUCCAGAAACUUCAGGAUGGCCCUGUGUCCCUUCCCUUACCCAGCCCAGUUCUCCUGUAUUUUCUGAAAAACUUCUACAAGUAUAUCGUCUGAGCUUCAUGAGAGUUGUUCUGUAGAUCAAGUCACGUUUGCCAUUCAAGAGACCCGGGGUUGAGCAAUGGGCGAUUCCAAGCAUUUAAAAAAAUGUUUUAUGUAUUUUUGAGAGAGAGAGCGUGAGCAGGGGAGCCUCCGAGAGAGAGGGAGGCACAGAAUCUGAAGACAGGCUCCAGGCUCUGAGCUAGCUGUCAGCACAGAGCCUGGCACGGGGCUGGAACCCACAAACUGUGAGUUCAUGACCUGAGCUGAAGUUGGAUGCUUAACCAGCUGAGCCACCCAGGCGCCCCAGUUCCAAGCAUUUUCAACACAAAAACUAAUCACCCAGCAAUAGCACUGCUAGGGAUUUAUCCAAGGGAUACAGAAGUACUGACACAUAGGAGCACAUGUACCCCAAUGUUCAUAGCAGCAAUGUCAACAAUAACCAAAACAUGAAAAGAGCCUAAAUGUCCAUCACCUGAUGAGUGGAUCAAGAAGAUGUGGUAUAUAUACACAAUGGAGUACUACAUGGCAAUGAGAAAGAAUGAAAUCUGGCCAUUUGUAGCAAAAUGGAUGGACCUUGAGGGUGUCAUGCUAAGCGAAAUAAGUCAGGCAGAGAAGG